Molecule: long non-coding RNA, 359 nt
Filed under: Cricetulus griseus (Chinese hamster)
Lineage: Eukaryota; Metazoa; Chordata; Mammalia; Rodentia; Cricetidae
Description: lncRNA (ENSCGRG00015030722.1)
Source: RNAcentral
AGAAGGAUCCAAGUGUCCUGUGUCGUUCUUGCUGGCGAGACGAUCGCGCGGGACAUCUGGUGCCGAAACCCGGGAACUUGUUGACAUUGCCGGCGCUUUGGGAGACCCCUCGGAGGAUGGGGCGGAUUCAGAACUGCAGGGAGGGUACCUGAUAAAGUCCAGCCCCAACAUGGCAGUUCUUUACAUCCAGGCUUUCAUCCUUCCCUCUUGUUCACGGUGAUGGGCAAAGUUUCUUUAGGCAGCUGAAGGUCCUGGCGAUGGAAUGGGCUGGUAUGCUGUCAGUGAGACUUGUCUGUCCUUCUCUGUCUUUUGAGGUAAGUCCAUCAUGUUAUUCACUCCAUCACUGCAUUACUCCAUCA